CCGGUACAGAGGGUUGCCAAGGCGCGAGCCGGAGCCAAUCCCCAUAAAAGCCGGUCGUAGUCCGGAUUGCAGUCUGCAACUCGACUGCAUG
This 91-nucleotide ribosomal RNA is filed under the name uncultured bacterium. RNAcentral's name for it is "partial 16S ribosomal RNA". It matches the Rfam family "Bacterial small subunit ribosomal RNA", at positions 1234 to 1322 of the family's 1533-position model. The record is from RNAcentral.